CGGUGUUUAACUGGCGUGAUGUGGGACGUCCUACCGGUGGGCUUAGCCUCGCGAGGGGCGGCCCAACUAAUAUCCCGUCGCGGUGCUCUUUACUGAGUGUCGAGUCGGGCCGGUACGUUUACUUUGAACAAAUUAGAGUGCUUAAAGCAGGCUAUCCUCGCCUGAAUACUGCGUGCAUGGAAUAAUGGAAUAGGACCUCGGUUCUAUUUUGUUGGUUUUCGGAACCCCGAGGUAAUGAUUAAUAGGGACAGAUGGGGGCAUUCGUAUUGCGACGUUAGAGGUGAAAUUCUUGGAUCGUCGCAAGACGGACAGAAGCGAAAGCAUUUGCCAAAAAUGUUUUCAUUAAUCAAGAACGAAAGUUAGAGGUUCGAAGGCGAUCAGAUACCGCCCUAGUUCUAACCAUAAACGAUGCCAGCUAGCGAUCCGCCGAAGUUCCUCCGAUGACUCGGCGGGCAGCUUCCGGGAAACCAAAGCUUUUGGGUUCCGGGGGGAAGUAUGGUUGCAAAGCUGAAACUUAAAGGAAUUGACGGAAGGGGCACCACCAGGAGUGGAGCCUGCGGCUUAAUUUGACUCAACACGGGAAACCUCACCGGGCCCAGACACCGGAAGGAUUGACAGAUUGAUAGCUCUUUCUUGAUUCGGUGGGUGGUGGUGCAUGGCCGUUCUUAGUUGGUGGAGCGAUUUGUCUGGUUAAUUCCGAUAACGAACGAGACUCUAGCCUGCUAAAUAGGCGUACCUUAUGGUAUCGCGAAGGCCCCCGGCUUCGGCCGGUGGGUUUUUACUACCAACGUACAAACAAAUCUUCUUAGAGGGACAGGCGG
Molecule: ribosomal RNA, 821 nt
Filed under: uncultured eukaryote
Lineage: Eukaryota
Description: SSU rRNA
Rfam family: Eukaryotic small subunit ribosomal RNA
Source: RNAcentral